This is a long non-coding RNA of Oncorhynchus keta (chum salmon), 699 nucleotides long. RefSeq lists it as uncharacterized. The transcript is spliced from 3 exons. NCBI's taxonomy places the organism in Eukaryota, Metazoa, Chordata, Actinopteri, Salmoniformes, Salmonidae. The record is from RefSeq and is a predicted model, not a curated record.
CACAUAUAGGAUCAGUUUAUCUUCUAUAACCCUUAUCAAACCCUAGGUCAGUCCAUACACAACACAUCUAGGAUCAGUUUCCCUUCUCUAACCCAAGGUCAGUCCCUACACAACACAUCUAGGAUCAGUUUCCCUUCUCUAACCCAAGGUCAGUCCCUACACAACACAUCUAGGAUCAGUUUCCCUUCUCUAACCCAAGGUCAGUCCCUACACAACACAUCUAGGAUCAGUUUCCCUUCUCUAACCCAAGGUCAGUCCCUACACAACACAUCUAGGAUCAGUUUCCCUUCUCUAACCCAAGGUCAGUCCCUACACAACACAUCUAGGAUCAGUUUCCUUCUCGCUAACCCAAGGUCAGUCCCUACACAACACAUCUAGGAUCAGUUUAUCUUCUAUAACCCAAGGUCAGUCCCUACACAACACAUCUAGGAUCAGUUUAUCUUCUAUAACCCAAGGUCAGUCCCUACACAACACAUCUAGGAUCAGUUUAUCUUCUAUAACCCAAGGUCAGUCCCUACACAACACAUCUAGGAUCAGUUUAUCUUCUAUAACCCAAGGUCAGUCCCUACACAACACAUCUAGGAUCAGUUUCCCUUCUCUAACCCUUAUCAGAACCAGCAAGGGAGAAAACUGAGCUGCUCUCAGUACACAGCUUGACAUUUCUCUGUGAUUCUACACAGCUUGACGUUUCUCUGUGAU